RNAcentral lists this ribosomal RNA (253 nucleotides) under uncultured bacterium. RNAcentral describes it as "partial 16S ribosomal RNA". It matches the Rfam family "Bacterial small subunit ribosomal RNA", at positions 524 to 776 of the family's 1533-position model. The record is from RNAcentral.
UACGAAGGGGGCGAGCGUUGUUCGGAAUUACUGGGCGUAAAGCGUGCGCAGGCGGUUAUGUAAGACAGAUGUGAAAUCCCCGGGCUCAACCUGGGAACUGCAUUUGUGACUGCAUAGCUAGAGUACGGUAGAGGGGGAUGGAAUUCCGCGUGUAGCAGUGAAAUGCGUAGAUAUGCGGAGGAACACCGAUGGCGAAGGCAAUCCCCUGGACCUGUACUGACGCUCAUGCACGAAAGCGUGGGGAGCAAACAGG